AGUGAACGCUGGCGGUAGGCCUAACACAUGCAAGUCGAACGGCAGCACAGUAAGAGCUUGCUCUUACGGGUGGCGAGUGGCGGACGGGUGAGGUAUACAUCGGACUCUACUUUUUCGUGGGGGAUCACGUAGGGAAACUUACGCUUAUACCGCAUACUACCUACGGGUGAAAGCAGGGGAUCUUCGGACCUUGCGCGCUUGUAUGAGCCGAUGUCGGAUUAGCUAGUUGGCGGGGUAAAGGCCCACCAAGGCGACGAUCCGUAGCUGGUCUGAGAGGAUGAUCAGCCAAACUGGAAAUGAGAAAAGGGCCAGACUCCUACGGGAGGCAGCAGUGGGGAAUAUUGGACAAUGGGCGCAAGCCUGAUCCAGCCAUACCGCGUGGGUGAAGAAGGCCUUCGGGUUGUAAAGCCCUUUUGUUGGGAAAGAAAAGCAGCAGGUUAAUAACCCGCUGUUCUGACGGUAACCAAAGAAUAAGCACCGGCUAACUUCGUG
This 492-nucleotide ribosomal RNA is filed under the name uncultured bacterium. Its description in RNAcentral is "partial 16S ribosomal RNA". It matches the Rfam family "Bacterial small subunit ribosomal RNA", at positions 29 to 507 of the family's 1533-position model. The record is from RNAcentral.